RNAcentral lists this transfer RNA (72 nucleotides) under Ovis aries (sheep). It matches the Rfam family "tRNA". Rfam says of the family: Transfer RNA (tRNA) molecules are approximately 80 nucleotides in length. The record is from Rfam by way of RNAcentral. Lineage: Eukaryota; Metazoa; Chordata; Mammalia; Artiodactyla; Bovidae.
UCCUUGGUGGCUCAGACAGUAAAGAGUCUGCCUGUAAUGCAGGAGACUCAGGUUCGAUCCCUGAGUCAGGAA